Molecule: small RNA, 125 nt
Filed under: Marmota monax (woodchuck)
Lineage: Eukaryota; Metazoa; Chordata; Mammalia; Rodentia; Sciuridae
Source: RNAcentral
GCUGGGCACAUUGGCAUAUGCCUAUAAUCCCAGUAGCUCAGGAGGCUGAGGCAGGAGGAUCCCAAGUUCAAAGCCAGCCUCAGCAAUGGUGAGGCACUAAGCAACUCAGUGAGACCCUGUCUUUA